Molecule: long non-coding RNA, 1104 nt
Filed under: Chinchilla lanigera (long-tailed chinchilla)
Lineage: Eukaryota; Metazoa; Chordata; Mammalia; Rodentia; Chinchillidae
Description: lncRNA (ENSCLAG00000022337.1)
Source: RNAcentral
AUGAAAAUCAUUGGUAAUUUUUAUGUUUUGUUUCGGGAACUGCACUAUCCUUUUCAGAAAGACAUAAGCUUGGUUCAGCCCAGAUGGGAGUGUUCUAGUAGCUACAUUAAUAAACAGGGGCGUCGAGACAAAGCCCCGGGCCCAAGAAGAUGGGAAGUGAAAAGACGGGUGUGUAUGUCCCACACGCUCCCUGUUGGCUUGGGCGACAGAUGAUAUAGCCGAAAGCUAGGGUGGGCGCCAGGAGACAGAGGACGUGGAGUGGAGGGAACUGGAGGCGUGCGGCGGCCGCCCGCCGGAGAGGGAGGCCUGCGAAGGGUGGGGUCGUGGCGUUGAGAACAGAGCGACCGUGCUUCUCCCACCGGCUUGCGCACCACCGGGAGUCACCCACCGACACUCCAGCCUGCGGGACCCCACGGUCUGACUCUGGCUCGCUGGACCGCGGAACGCUCCCCUCACCCGGGGUCCCGGAGACUGGAGGUGCGUUUCUUUUUCUCUUUUCUUCCUCGGCCCACUACGAACCCGGAAAGGUAGCUUGUUCCUCUCCCGCGUCGUGUGCAGGCGCCGCGGGCUGUGGGUAAUUAGAUGCGUUCUUCCCUAAUUGCCCAAGGCUCGUUAGAAUUCGCCCCAGAGCUGUAACAUUUAUUUUCUUCCAAAUUAACGUUGCUUUGCAAUUAAGCUUAGGAAGCCAGCAACAAAAGCCGACUUGGCCCAAGGUCGUUUAGUACGAAAACGGAUUAGGGAAUCUUCUUCCCGAUUUGAGCGCUUUGGGCAAAGCUCGGACAGCAGAAGCCGAGAGGGGGAUGUCGUUGGCAGCAGCGAUGACCUUCAUCGGGGCGGUGAUUUAUGUUCCCAAACGAGAAAACAGAGCCUCGGUGGGUGAACUAUCUCGUGGACAGUUUGGGCAGAACUCCACACCGAGGACAUGAAGCUGCUGAAGGCGGUUACAGUUUACCAAAUACAUUCAUAAACAUAAUCUCAGUACUAAGAGCUCUGUGAAAUGUUUCCUUUAUUAAAAUUAUUUUUCUUAUUAUAAAAUCAGGACGUGUUCAUUGUUUUUAAAAAUACAAAACAGGAGGCUGAGGAGGGAGGAUCACCAGUUAGAGG